GGAAGGUGUGCACCCGGUGGUGCACUCGGUUUGCUAAACCGAUUCAAGUCAUCGGCUUGGAGGUUCAACUCCUCCACCUUCCG
Molecule: transfer RNA, 83 nt
Filed under: Corynebacterium glutamicum
Lineage: Bacteria; Bacillati; Actinomycetota; Actinomycetes; Mycobacteriales; Corynebacteriaceae
Description: tRNA-Ser
Rfam family: Selenocysteine transfer RNA
Source: RNAcentral